CACUCUCUCCUCCCGGAAACCUCCCGCACGGUGGGUGCUUAAGAGAUGCUCAUAGGACGUUGACUGAUUGACUGAAGAGAGAAAGCCUAUAAAGACGAAAACAGACGCCUCUGAUUAGCUGGAAAGCCAGGAAAUAGAGGUCGGGAAGUUCUUGGCUGAGCCAGUUGUUGGAGCUUUGGGAAGAUCUUUCGGGCCUCUUUUGAGCCAAAGGACAAUAGACUUCGAACCCGGCCCGGCAUCGCAGGCUCUAACCCGGAGAGCGAGGAGGGCCCGUUGUCUGCGGGAAGCGCUGGGAGCCACGCUCGGGAAACCCAUUAGCCAAAUAAUAGGUUUUGAUCCCACUGUUUUGAAAAGGUCCACAGGUGGAAUACUGCUGGGAGCUAUGGGAGAUAUAAAAACAGGAACUCCUAUUUAUGUGACACAUUCCUCACAGUGAUCCUCUAAGGAAGAGGUGACAGUCAUUGGAAAACUCCAUCUGGCAGCUAUGUGAAAAAUGGCCUGGAAUGGGGCGAGACCAGAGGAAGGACCAUCAGCUGGGAGAUCACUUCAAUAAAGUGGGCAAGAGAUCUGGAUUGUCACAUGACAAGUAUUGUGGAAAUCAAAUAGCAAGAUUUGGCUACUGAUUGAAUAUUGGCGUGACAGAGAAUAAGGAGAUGAUAAUAAUAGAGAGAUCAUGAAUCUGGGGAAAUGGAAUAAAGAUGAUGCCUUUAACAGAAAUACAAAAGUUGUAAAAAGGGCUGUUUUGGAAGAAAUGUAAACAACAAUAUUGACUCCUGCCAUUGAUAAAUACAUAGAUUUUAAGAUUUAAAAAUAGUGCUUUUCAUUAUCUACUUCUUUUAUUUAUGUUAUUUCAUGCAUUGAGCAUUGUCUUCUUAAUUAGAUUGUAAGCUCUUUCUAGCUAUAGCCUAUAUAGCUUUGUAUCUCUUGCAGAACUCAGGGCAGUUCUGACAAUGUUCUAGGCUAUUAAUCGAAAAAUGUGUUAAGACUUGUAAAAUGCUGUACACAUGGGGACCAUCUUGGCUAGUUGUCAGUCCCUUUUCAGUCUAGCACUGUAUGGUUACCUUGGAGUUCCAUGCUAAGACAUUCCACUCAUUCCUGCAUGCAAAUGGUGAUUUUCACCAUCAAGAGCUAUGUGAGCUGAGAAUUAUGGGAAGAAACUACCUAUGAUAUUUUGUAGGAUCUCUUUUGAUUAAAGGACAAACAAAUUUUUGGGAAUUUAAAUGUAGAUAACUAGGGUCCUAAAAUGUUAAGGGAAUAUCAAACUAUCUAGCAUUGGUUUGACCAUUAGAAAUUUAUAUUGAGACUCUGAGGUACUUCAUUGUUAUCCAUGAAUAAAUCUUUUACAUCCAUUUAUCUCUGUCAGGAUGCUCAUAUCAUGGAACCCAAACUGAAUGGCCAGGUUUUGCUGGAAGCAAAGAUAUAAAGUUGCUAGGCUUUUGGCUAUGCUCUCCUUCCCCUCUCAGAAGUCUGAUUCCUACUUAGGGAACUUUCCUGCAAAUUUACUCCCGGUUUGGAGUAUCCGGUGGCUUCAUGUUGUUUCCUCCAUGUCUUGGCUUCCAGGUUGGCUCUUGUCCCCUGAGGUAGUGCUACUCAUACUACCCACAACCUCUGUCUCACAGAAUUGUUAUG
This is a long non-coding RNA of Sarcophilus harrisii (Tasmanian devil), 1629 nucleotides long. RefSeq lists it as uncharacterized. The transcript has 3 exons. Lineage: Eukaryota; Metazoa; Chordata; Mammalia; Dasyuromorphia; Dasyuridae. The record is from RefSeq and is a predicted model, not a curated record.